GAAGAGGUGGCCGAGAUGGCAAGGCAGCGGGUCGCUAGCCCGUAACGGGUCACACCGUCGGGGGUCUGACUCCCUUCCUCUCCACCA
Molecule: transfer RNA, 87 nt
Filed under: Micromonospora endolithica
Lineage: Bacteria; Bacillati; Actinomycetota; Actinomycetes; Micromonosporales; Micromonosporaceae
Description: tRNA-Ser
Rfam family: tRNA
About the family: Transfer RNA (tRNA) molecules are approximately 80 nucleotides in length. Their secondary structure includes four short double-helical elements and three loops (D, anti-codon, and T loops).
Source: RNAcentral